UACGGAGGGUGCGAGCGUUGUCCGGAAUCACUGGGCGUAAAGGGCGCGUAGGCGGCGCGGAUAGUCGGCGGUGAAAGCCCGGAGCUCAACUCCGGGUCGGCCGUCGAUACGGGCAGGCUAGAGGUAGGUAGGGGAGAAUGGGAUUCCCGGUGUAGCGGUGAAAUGCGCAGAUAUCGGGAGGAACACCGGUGGCGAAGGCGGUUCUCUGGGCCUUACCUGACGCUGAGGAGCGAAAGCGUGGGGAGCGAACAGG
RNAcentral lists this ribosomal RNA (253 nucleotides) under uncultured bacterium. Its description in RNAcentral is "partial 16S ribosomal RNA". It matches the Rfam family "Bacterial small subunit ribosomal RNA", at positions 524 to 776 of the family's 1533-position model. The record is from RNAcentral.